GACCGUAUAGCUCAAUGGUAGAGCAUGUGCUUAACAUGCACGAGGUACUGGGUUCAAUCCUCAGUACUUCCA
This 72-nucleotide transfer RNA is filed under the name Camelus bactrianus (Bactrian camel). It matches the Rfam family "tRNA". From Rfam's summary of the family: Transfer RNA (tRNA) molecules are approximately 80 nucleotides in length. Their secondary structure includes four short double-helical elements and three loops (D, anti-codon, and T loops). Further hydrogen bonds mediate the characteristic L-shaped molecular structure. tRNAs have two regions of fundamental functional importance: the anti-codon, which is responsible for specific mRNA codon recognition, and the 3' end, to which the tRNAs corresponding amino acid is attached (by aminoacyl-tRNA synthetases). tRNAs cope with the degeneracy of the genetic code in two manners: having more than one tRNA (with a specific anti-codon) for a particular amino acid; and 'wobble' base-pairing, i.e. permitting non-standard base-pairing at the 3rd anti-codon position. RNAcentral also lists the same sequence under 2 other names. The record is from Rfam by way of RNAcentral. Lineage: Eukaryota; Metazoa; Chordata; Mammalia; Artiodactyla; Camelidae.